RNAcentral lists this ribosomal RNA (477 nucleotides) under uncultured bacterium. Its description in RNAcentral is "partial 16S ribosomal RNA". It matches the Rfam family "Bacterial small subunit ribosomal RNA", at positions 28 to 507 of the family's 1533-position model. The record is from RNAcentral.
GAUUAACGCUGGCGGCGUGCAUAACACAUGCAAGUCGAACGAUGGAACUUAGUAGACUUCUUCGGAAAGACACUAAGCGGAUUAGUGGCGAACGGGUGAGUAACGCGUGAGUAACCUGCCUUACACAAGGGGAUAGCCUUUGGAAACGAAGAAUAAUACCCUAUAAAACCAUAAAAGCACAUGCUAGAAUGGUCAAAGUGAUAGCGGUGUAAGAUGGACUUGCGUCUGAUUAGCUAGUUGGUGAGAUAAAAGCUCACCAAGGCAACGAUCAGUAGCCGGCUUGAGAGAGUGUACGGCCACAUUGGGACUGAGACACGGCCCAGACUCCUACGGGAGGCAGCAGUGGGGAAUUUUGCACAAUGGGGGAAACCCUGAUGCAGCGACGCCGCGUGAUUUAGAAGGCCUUCGGGUUGUAAAAAUCUUUUGUAUAGGAAGAAAAUGACAGUACUAUACGAAUAAGGUCCGGCUAAUUACGUG